UAGAAGGACUUUUGGGGAUCAUUUUUAUAGUUCAUUACUAGAGAAGUUUCUCUGAACGUGCAGAGUACCCUAAACCAUGAGGAGGUACAGUGGUCUCUCCUGAGUGUGAAGCUGGCUUUUGGCGUUCCUUUUGCAAUUGCCAAUAGCUAUUGAUGAUCAUUCUUCUAUUCCUUUGGAAGAGUUAAAGGUAGAGAACAUAGUCUGAGUGGU
This is a small nucleolar RNA of Artibeus jamaicensis (Jamaican fruit-eating bat), 210 nucleotides long. RefSeq annotates it as small nucleolar RNA U3. The record is from RefSeq and is a predicted model, not a curated record. Lineage: Eukaryota; Metazoa; Chordata; Mammalia; Chiroptera; Phyllostomidae. The transcript has a single exon.